Molecule: long non-coding RNA, 1020 nt
Organism: Planococcus citri (citrus mealybug)
Lineage: Eukaryota; Metazoa; Arthropoda; Insecta; Hemiptera; Pseudococcidae
Exons: 2
Source: RefSeq, a predicted model, not a curated record
CGCACGUGAGGUUGAAGUGGUUACUCAAUAGGUUACGGUUCAUGGUAUAAUUGUUACCUACGAUUAAUUUUUAAAAUUAGAAUGCUUCCAUCAACGUUAGUUGAAUUUUUGGAAACGUUGUGUUCUAAUAUUGCCGUGAUCAAGAUUUCAACUGCGGGCUUACGACAUGGAAAUGAAUUAUGGCAUCUUGAAAUUUGGUCCUAGUUUUGUAUUGAAGUGUUCAACUCUGAAUUCAUGCAUUCCAGCGAAGUCCUGUCGAGGUUGGUCUCGUUUGUGAUUUUUCUAUGAGGUUUCGAAUCCUCCCUUCGCCAUGGUCGGAUGAACUGGUUUUCAUGUACAUGAUGGAAUUUUAGGUUCUUGGCACUUUAGGUAACAUUGAGUAAGAAACAAUUUUUCCCUUUUUCUGGAGUUACCGUUUUCAAAAUUUAGCAUUUGAAAAUUGAUGAAAAAAUUACUUUUGAGAUUAUCGACUAGAAUUUGCCUGAAUUGACCUCGAUUUUCAAGUUUUCAAAAAUUCAUCAAAAAUGUAAAAUCAAGCAAAACCGCUAAAAUUUCACUUUUCAGAGAUGCUUUCUCGGUUUCCCCAAAAAAUUCAAUUUUUUCAGAUGUUAGAGCAAAGAAGAUCUUCCUUGGUGGUCCCUUUGUUAGUUUGUUGAAUUCAUUUUUAGCUUGAAAAUGAUCGAAGAGUAUUGAAAAAGGUAUGGACUAUGAACAAUAAAUGAGGCUAUGUCCACGAUGCAGGUACAAGUAAACUUACGAAAGAGUAUGCAAUUUCCACAAUGUAAAUAGAAAAUGAAAUUGUUUGGCAAACUUCGAAACAAAAAUGUAAAGAGGGGGCUUAGAAUGAUCGGAGAUGGUAAGAAUUAUUGUAAUUAUUGUGUGGGGGUUUUCCAAGAAUUAUUCCCUAGGGAGGGAAUAUUUCUCUUCUACCUGACUAGCUUGGAUGGGUAGGCUAUAGAUCACACUAAGUCUCAACUACACCAGAAAUGUCUUGAAAUGUAAUAAAACACCUCAACAGAA